Molecule: ribosomal RNA, 223 nt
Filed under: Amblyomma maculatum (Gulf Coast tick)
Lineage: Eukaryota; Metazoa; Arthropoda; Arachnida; Ixodida; Ixodidae
Description: partial large subunit ribosomal RNA
Source: RNAcentral
GGAAUUUCAUAAAAUUUCUUUCUUAAUUUUAAAAAUUGAAAUUAAUUUUAUAUGUGAAGAAACAAUAAUAAAAAUUAAGGACAAGAAGACCCUAAGAAUUUUAAAAAUUUCAAUAAAAUGCUGUAUUUUAUUGAAAUUUUUUAAUUGGGGCGAUUAUUAAAUAUUAAAAACUUUAAUUUUUUUAAAAAAAGAACCAAUAAUAUUGGUUAUUUGAAAAAAUACU